GAUGAACGCUGGCGGCGUGCCUAAUACAUGCAAGUCGAGCGAACAGACGAGGAGCUUGCUCCUCUGACGUUAGCGGCGGACGGGUGAGUAACACGUGGAUAAUCUACCUAUAAGACUGGGAUAACUUCGGGAAACCGGAGCUAAUACCGGAUAAUAUAUUGAACCGCAUGGUUCAAUAGUGAAAGCCGGUUUUGCUGUCACUUAUAGAUGGAUCCGCGCCGCAUUAGCUAGUUGGUAAGGUAACGGCUUACCAAGGCAACGAUGCGUAGCCGACCUGAGAGGGUGAUCGGCCACACUGGAACUGAGACACGGUCCAGACUCCUACGGGAGGCAGCAGUAGGGAAUCUUCCGCAAUGGGCGAAAGCCUGACGGAGCAACGCCGCGUGAGUGAUGAAGGUCUUCGGAUCGUAAAACUCUGUUAUUAGGGAAGAACAAAUGUGUAAGUAACUAUGCACGUCUUGACGGUACCUAAUCAGAAAGCCACGGCUAACUACGUG
RNAcentral lists this ribosomal RNA (497 nucleotides) under uncultured bacterium. RNAcentral describes it as "partial 16S ribosomal RNA". It matches the Rfam family "Bacterial small subunit ribosomal RNA", at positions 28 to 507 of the family's 1533-position model. The record is from RNAcentral.